RNAcentral lists this small nuclear RNA (197 nucleotides) under Erinaceus europaeus (western European hedgehog). RNAcentral describes it as "7SK RNA". It matches the Rfam family "7SK RNA", at positions 1 to 199 of the family's 331-position model. Rfam says of the family: 7SK was discovered as an abundant small nuclear RNA in the mid-70s but a possible function has only recently been suggested. Two independent studies have found that 7SK RNA binds the CDK9/cyclin T complex (known as elongation factor P-TEFb). The record is from Rfam by way of RNAcentral. Lineage: Eukaryota; Metazoa; Chordata; Mammalia; Eulipotyphla; Erinaceidae.
GGAUGUGAGGGCGGUCUGGCUGCAACAUCUGUCACCCCAUUGAUUGCCAGGGUUGAUAAGGCUGAUCUGGCUGGCUAGGCCGGUGUUCCCUUCCUCUCAUGGAUCCAUGUGCUUCCCUCCUGAAGCUGCACACUAGGUCGAAGAGGACUGCCUUCCCCUACAGAGACAGACUGGUCUUCUGUUGAGGGUAUAUGAUG